Molecule: ribosomal RNA, 330 nt
Filed under: uncultured bacterium
Lineage: Bacteria
Description: bacterial SSU rRNA
Rfam family: Bacterial small subunit ribosomal RNA
Source: RNAcentral
CGCGUAGGUGGAUACAUGAGUAAAUUGUGAAAUCCCUGGGCUUAACCUAGGGUUGUCAAUUUAAACGGUGUAUCUGGAGUGGAGUAGAGGGAAGUAGAAUUUCCGGUGUAGCGGUGAAAUGCGUAGAUAUCGGAAGGAAUACCGGUGGCGAAGGCGUCUUCCUGGACUCUAACUGACACUGAGGCGCGAAAGCAUGGGGAUCAAACAGGAUUAGAUACCCUGGUAGUCCAUGCCAUAAACGAUGAAGACUAGCCGUUUUUCUCUACGGAGGAGAGUGGCGCAGCCAACGCGAUAAGUCUUCCGCCUGGGGAGUACGGCCGCAAGGUUAAA